Molecule: ribosomal RNA, 1010 nt
Filed under: Klebsiella pneumoniae
Lineage: Bacteria; Pseudomonadati; Pseudomonadota; Gammaproteobacteria; Enterobacterales; Enterobacteriaceae
Description: bacterial SSU rRNA
Rfam family: Bacterial small subunit ribosomal RNA
Source: RNAcentral
ACUUAAAUUGAAGAGUUUGAUCAUGGCUCAGAUUGAACGCUGGCGGCAGGCCUAACACAUGCAAGUCGAGCGGUAGCACAGAGAGCUUGCUCUCGGGUGACGAGCGGCGGACGGGUGAGUAAUGUCUGGGAAACUGCCUGAUGGAGGGGGAUAACUACUGGAAACGGUAGCUAAUACCGCAUAACGUCGCAAGACCAAAGUGGGGGACCUUCGGGCCUCAUGCCAUCAGAUGUGCCCAGAUGGGAUUAGCUAGUAGGUGGGGUAACGGCUCACCUAGGCGACGAUCCCUAGCUGGUCUGAGAGGAUGACCAGCCACACUGGAACUGAGACACGGUCCAGACUCCUACGGGAGGCAGCAGUGGGGAAUAUUGCACAAUGGGCGCAAGCCUGAUGCAGCCAUGCCGCGUGUGUGAAGAAGGCCUUCGGGUUGUAAAGCACUUUCAGCGGGGAGGAAGGCGGUGAGGUUAAUAACCUUGGCGAUUGACGUUACCCGCAGAAGAAGCACCGGCUAACUCCGUGCCAGCAGCCGCGGUAAUACGGAGGGUGCAAGCGUUAAUCGGAAUUACUGGGCGUAAAGCGCACGCAGGCGGUCUGUCAAGUCGGAUGUGAAAUCCCCGGGCUCAACCUGGGAACUGCAUUCGAAACUGGCAGGCUAGAGUCUUGUAGAGGGGGGUAGAAUUCCAGGUGUAGCGGUGAAAUGCGUAGAGAUCUGGAGGAAUACCGGUGGCGAAGGCGGCCCCCUGGACAAAGACUGACGCUCAGGUGCGAAAGCGUGGGGAGCAAACAGGAUUAGAUACCCUGGUAGUCCACGCCGUAAACGAUGUCGAUUUGGAGGUUGUGCCCUUGAGGCGUGGCUUCCGGAGCUAACGCGUUAAAUCGACCGCCUGGGGAGUACGGCCGCAAGGUUAAAACUCAAAUGAAUUGACGGGGGCCCGCACAAGCGGUGGAGCAUGUGGUUUAAUUCGAUGCAACGCGAAGAACCUUACCUGGUCUUGACAUCCACAGAACUU